This 78-nucleotide microRNA precursor is filed under the name Schistosoma mattheei. RNAcentral describes it as "mir-3492 microRNA precursor family". It matches the Rfam family "mir-3492 microRNA precursor family". Lineage: Eukaryota; Metazoa; Platyhelminthes; Trematoda; Strigeidida; Schistosomatidae. The record is from Rfam by way of RNAcentral.
CACUUUCUGAAUUCGUGUUGAGAUUUCGUCAGACACCAACCCAUUAGGGCUGAUCACACUUCCAAGAUAAGUGAAGUC